Molecule: ribosomal RNA, 524 nt
Filed under: uncultured bacterium
Lineage: Bacteria
Description: partial 16S ribosomal RNA
Rfam family: Bacterial small subunit ribosomal RNA
Source: RNAcentral
UGGGGAAUAUUGGACAAUGGGCGCAAGCCUGAUCCAGCCAUGCCGCGUGAGUGAUGAAGGCCCUAGGGUUGUAAAGCUCUUUCACCGGUGAAGAUAAUGACGGUAACCGGAGAAGAAGCCCCGGCUAACUUCGUGCCAGCAGCCGCGGUAAUACGAAGGGGGCUAGCGUUGUUCGGAUUUACUGGGCGUAAAGCGCACGUAGGCGGACUUUUAAGUCAGGGGUGAAAUCCCGGGGGCUCAACCCCGGAACUGCCUUUGAUACUGGAAGUCUUGAGUAUGGUAGAGGUGAGUGGAAUUCCGAGUGUAGAGGUGAAAUUCGUAGAUAUUCGGAGGAACACCAGUGGCGAAGGCGGCUCACUGGACCAUUACUGACGCUGAGGUGCGAAAGCGUGGGGAGCAAACAGGGUUAGAUACCCUGGUAGUCCACGCCGUAAACGAUGAAUGUUAGCCGUUGGGGAGUUUUACUCUUCGGUGGCGCAGCUAACGCAUUAAACAUUCCGCCUGGGGAGUACGGUCGCAAGAUU